RNAcentral lists this long non-coding RNA (844 nucleotides) under Homo sapiens (human). RNAcentral's name for it is "long intergenic non-protein coding RNA 922". The record is from RNAcentral. Lineage: Eukaryota; Metazoa; Chordata; Mammalia; Primates; Hominidae.
CACCAGACCACAAACGUGGGUGUUGAUUCUAAGGAUACCCCCAAUAAACAUCUUUCGUGCUAAAGCCCAUUCCAGAAUUUACUUCCCAGCUAUCUUUGAUGUUCAUAUUGUCAGAGGUGGUGGCCGCUGAAACAGGCAAAGACAUGGAGCAUAUCUUGGGUCCAGGUAAAGGAGGUGGGUGCACACAAGUGAAAAGAUGUUGCUGAAGUCACGUGGCUUCAAGCAGUAGAGCUGACUGUCCUCUAGUCCAGUUGUCCCUACAGGAUAAAAGCUUCUCUCCAUUACAGAGACCUUGGGAGUCCAGAGGAAGGUCUUUUUACCAUCAGCAUUCUCUACUGUGUUCAAUGACUGUCAGCCAAAGAUGGCCAGCUUUCCUUCAGAAAGAAAUGCAUUCAAAGAACCUACAUUCACAACAUAAAGAAAUAAAGCACACACAAGACCGCCAAGCAUUAAGAUUCUCCUGUGGAGCCAGGCUACAAUCCUUUAAAUGAAGACAGACAGCUAGGUGGCUGCAGCCCAGCGCUACACCUCACCCCUCCCUCAGUGUCAUGCAGAAAAAAUGUAUUCAGAACUCAGAAGUGAAGUUGUGCAAAUCCAUCAUUGACACUAGCUUCAAGGUUACCUCGGGGGAGCAGAAUGUACCCCUGCCAGAGAGCUGGAUAGAUGAUGAUGGGGACAGAAAUUCUGGGGGAGUUGUAAAUGGCAGCCACUGCCUCUAUAGGAAACCCAAAGGGAACACAGCAGAAGAGGAGGUGGUGGAGGAGCCACUGCCCUCUCGAAGGGUUCAAUGUCAUUCUGCAGACACAACCAAAUAACUUUUUCUUCCCUGCUGCUCCUCCAUUUG